AAGGAAAAUCUAUGUAUAUUAUCUAACACAUAACGAAUGUUUCUGUAAUUUACCAUAAAUUCCUUUCAUCUGUGUAAUGAUUUAUACAUAGACGUACAAAUUCCAUUAUUAAAUGGUUGUUUAGCACAUAUCUACGUGCUGUGAGGUGUUAACUUACGUAGACCCAAUUGAACCGUGGGACGGUCCAAAAGGUAUAUUCAACAAAGCACAUGAGAUUGGACUUCACGUUUUGGUCUAUUAGGCCAAGCAAGGCCCAUUCUCAAGAAAGAAAGAAAAAAACCUAAUAGUAACCAUAUAAAAAAUUAAAAAAAAAAAAAUUGGAACUCGUGAGUCGAGAGUCGUGACCUCCUACCAUAUCUUAAAAAACAAAUUCAAUACUUUCAAAAAAUUUAAAACUUUAUACAUGAAAGCCAAUUGCUAACCCUUCCAUUCCUUUGAACAUAGUGUUUCCCAGAAAAAGGAGGGGGGAAGAAUAUCGCAUUCAUUUGAUGACAAAACCCCAUUUAUAGGCACUCCCCAUGAUCAUCAUGUGUAAAAGAGCUUUGUGAACAGAAGCUCGUUCCAAGUAUCUUGAAGGCCGGGCAAGCACCAGUGCACGCAGUCGGCAUAGCUCGCCGGGUUGGCCACUUGCUCUGCCGUGAGCGGAUGCCACUGCUUCUUGUAGAUGGAGGUGUGCGCAUCUCUGCGAUAGCUCGAGAGCUGAGUGAUGUUGAGGAGCACGAUGGGGACUUUGGUCUUGCUGAACACUUCUCCAAUCACCCGCAUCACGCCCUUUCGGCAAUCUGAGCCCCAGUAGUUCGGGUCUUCGAUGAUCGUCGUCUGGUUGUAGCAGUUGCCGCCCGGCUCGCCGCCCCAAUCAAUACUCCUGCACGCCACCAUGGUGUUUCCAGAUAUCAUUAUCGAGAUUUAGUUUGACAAAUUCAUCGUCAUGCUACAGAAAAUGGAUCAUCAUGUGUUCGUGCAGCAUUAAUACGGAUUCCGUUUAGUUUGUACCAAGUUUACAUUGAUAGCGAAUCCAAUUCCAUUAGCUAAAUGCAAUGGAAGAAGAUAGGGAAUUAUAACUCACUUUUGAUGUGAAGGUGACAUGCUAACAAAGAAGACCCUCGUCUUUUUUGGGUCCAUAUUCUUUUUAGUCCAUCUCAACAUGCUCUUCAGUCCCAUCCUGUAAGCAUCCUCUGUUGACAGCUCCACCACAUCCCUCACCUCAUCGUCAAAUGAACCUUUCCUACAGAAAAGUUAAAGUAAAGCCACAAUUAGAUCCCCCAUUUCAAAUUGAUUGGUUUCUAAGGACAGUUAGAAAGAAUAAAAAGCAAAGUCGAG
This 1320-nucleotide long non-coding RNA is filed under the name Eucalyptus grandis. Its description in RNAcentral is "long non-coding RNA (EGRA_LNC005785)". Lineage: Eukaryota; Viridiplantae; Streptophyta; Magnoliopsida; Myrtales; Myrtaceae. The record is from RNAcentral.